AGGCACGGCCCCAACAAGGCCUGCAGAGCAAUUGAAUGGCUGGGGAGUGUCAGUAGCUACCGGGGGGCUGGGAGCAGCCUGCUUGGUUGGCAAUAAUUGCAGCACAUUAAACCCGUACGCUUUCCCCUUCCUCCCUUUUGUUUUUCUUUCAUAACAUUCUUGUUUCUGAAACACAGCACUCCUGUAGGUGCCAGAAACAAGCACUGACUGGGAAUCUAAAAAUUAACUGCAUUAUGUUUGAACGUCUGUUACUCCAUUUAUGUGUAAGCUGUGGGAUAGGCAGGUUUUCAGUGUACAAAAUUGUAGCAGCCUUUCCCUUUCCUAAUCAGCAUAGGAGCUGAAAAAUAUUGCUUUGCUCUCUCACUUUUUGUUAGUGACACUCUUGUACUGCAUUUGUUCUCUAAGUUUUAAUUUGCUUAUAGUCCUGCUUGCUGUUUGUUGUGCCUUUUUUUUUUCUGUAAAACAGUUUCAUAUGUAUACAACACCCAGUGCAGGACAGUUUUCUCUCAAAAAGCCUUGCAACCAUCAGACCUUUGAUUAAGAUAACAGAGAAUAUAGCAAGUUCAUGUGUGAAGAUCUAUGGCCCUGACUGUUCCUAGGUACUUAGCCUUCUCUAGUGGACAAACUCUACAAGUGAAGGAGAGGUUAACAAGCUUGUUAAAAGGCUAAUUAUCCUCAGUCAAUUAUACCUGAAGCAAGUGGCAGUGUUGUCUCCUUUUGAAUUGCCAGUAGAAGACAAGGCUUAGCUUAAAAGGGAAUAGUAGGAAAGCUGACUGCUGUUUUGUGGUAAGAGUUACUGCCUGACUCCAAGAAAAAUUGUUAUGCCAUCCCUGUAAUAAGAUGUGGUGGUGGAGUGAAGAGCAAGGACAUCUGCUGCUCAGAGUACUCCUCGCUGGACUCCCUCCGCACCUGAAGCCUGUUUUAAGAAGUCCCCCACCAUCUAGGGGUGUGGACUGUGCAUCUUCCAGCCAUAUGGAUCCUGGCCAGUUCCUUCAGAUGUUGUAUCACUGGCUCCCGGUUGCAUUUUGUUAGUGCCUAUAGCACGGGAUUUCUGCUUCUAAUUCUUGGCCUAAGCACCUUUCUAAUGGACGCUGUUAGCAUGACACCAGCAGCUGAUGUUCAGGUCCUGAAUGUUCAAAAGCAUUUGAUUUGUGAGAACUGCAGAAUUUCUGGAGAAAAGAGAUCCAUCAAGAGGAGGGAGGUGUCUUUUAGGAGCGUAGCUCAGAUAUGAAAGCAGUGAAUGAGCUGGGUACCUGGACAAAUUGGAUUUCCUGGCCCUGGAUGCUUUGGUGAGG
Molecule: long non-coding RNA, 1295 nt
Filed under: Anser brachyrhynchus (Pink-footed goose)
Lineage: Eukaryota; Metazoa; Chordata; Aves; Anseriformes; Anatidae
Description: lncRNA (ENSABRG00000022900.1)
Source: RNAcentral